Molecule: transfer RNA, 73 nt
Filed under: Gemmatimonadota bacterium
Lineage: Bacteria; Pseudomonadati; Gemmatimonadota
Also listed under: 2 other names
Description: Gemmatimonadetes bacterium tRNA-Gly
Rfam family: tRNA
About the family: Transfer RNA (tRNA) molecules are approximately 80 nucleotides in length. Their secondary structure includes four short double-helical elements and three loops (D, anti-codon, and T loops). Further hydrogen bonds mediate the characteristic L-shaped molecular structure. tRNAs have two regions of fundamental functional importance: the anti-codon, which is responsible for specific mRNA codon recognition, and the 3' end, to which the tRNAs corresponding amino acid is attached (by aminoacyl-tRNA synthetases). tRNAs cope with the degeneracy of the genetic code in two manners: having more than one tRNA (with a specific anti-codon) for a particular amino acid; and 'wobble' base-pairing, i.e. permitting non-standard base-pairing at the 3rd anti-codon position.
Source: RNAcentral
GCGGGCGUAGCUCAGCUGGCAGAGCGCAACCUUGCCAAGGUUGAGGUCGCCGGUUCGAUCCCGGUCGCCCGCU